Long non-coding RNA from Salvia splendens (bonfire salvia), 445 nucleotides. RefSeq lists it as uncharacterized. The transcript has 2 exons. The record is from RefSeq and is a predicted model, not a curated record. NCBI's taxonomy places the organism in Eukaryota, Viridiplantae, Streptophyta, Magnoliopsida, Lamiales, Lamiaceae.
UAUGAAGAUAUGAUUCCUAAUGUGAAAUCUUGAAGGAGAAAUAGUUGUUUUUGACUAAUCUAAUGUCUUGUAGGAUAUAUGGAUAAAUAAUAGACACGAUUUAUGAAAUUAAGUUAGAAAAUAAUGGUUAACCGUAUGAAUUUGAUACUUUAUAUGCGAAAGUGAAAUAUAUAUUGAAGGGUAAUUCUACCCUAGGAAAUAACAAGGACAAGGACAAGGAGCAGGAAUAAAGGUAUUCGUGUGUCAAGGGCGUUUUGGAUUUCGAGAUUAACUCUUUCGAUGUACAGCUGCUCAAGUCGGGUCACUAGCCAACCUUUGUGUUCGGAAAAUUCUUUCAGAAAUUCUAGAUGUGGCAUGUAUAGAAAGUGUAAUGUAGUUCGAACGUUUCAUUUACUUCGCUAUCCUGGUUGUAUAAAUAUAUAUAUAUAUAUAGACUUUCGAAACA